This 698-nucleotide long non-coding RNA is filed under the name Rattus norvegicus (Norway rat). RNAcentral's name for it is "long non-coding RNA NONRATT011174". Lineage: Eukaryota; Metazoa; Chordata; Mammalia; Rodentia; Muridae. The record is from RNAcentral.
UCUGGCUCCGCCGGCGUCCCAUCGGAGGCCCCGCUCCGAAGGUGUCCCUAGGUGGGAGGAGAUGGAAAAGUCAGGAAGCAUGGCCUGAUGUCAAGUCACUGUCUCACCGCUGACAGUGUUGCAACAACAAUGUCACCGAGAAUGAAGGACAUCCAGCAUGUAAAAGGUUUUAACCAUUCAGGGAGCUGAAGAGAAGGCUCAGCAAUUGUGAGUACCAGCCUCAGCAAUUAAUUUUCACCAUUGCAUCCUGUGACUGUGCAUACUGAACACUAACUGUAUCCUUUCUCCUCGUCUCUGGGACUCGGUCACCUUUCUGCUCUCUGCUUCUGCCACUCUGUCUGAUGAAAGUACUUCCUGUUUGUGAAAUUAGCUGGACACAGUUCACAUCGAUAGCAGACAAUUGAGGAGUUUGCACCACACAUCUGAGAAGACGUCCAGACUGAUAAGAAAAGUCCCAUUGUGAUACUGAAAGGAGACCGCAUCACGAGUCAGAAGAGAGGCUUCUGCAAGCAUCAACACUCACCCCUCUGCCUGGACUCCUAGCCUGGGAUCGGUGGGAAAGUAGAUCUUGUUGCUUAAGUGACUCAGUCAGGACAUUUUGUUAGGGAGUCCUUGGCAGAUUGAGAUAUGUCUAUAGAUCAUAUCGAAUAUCCAUCUCUCUCUCUAUAUAUAUAUAUAUAUAGAGAGAGAGAGAGAGA